CAAACCUUUGAUGGCGACCGGCGCACGGGUGAGUAACACGUAUCCAACCUGCCUCAUACUCGGGGAUAGCCUUUCGAAAGAAAGAUUAAUACCCGAUGUUAUAGUCCUACCGCAUGAUGGGAUUAUUAAAGAAUUUCGGUAUGGGAUGGGGAUGCGUUCCAUUAGUUAGUUGGCGGGGUAACGGCCCACCAAGACAACGAUGGAUAGGGGUUCUGAGAGGAAGGUCCCCCACAUUGGAACUGAGACACGGUCCAAACUCCUACGGGAGGCAGCAG
Molecule: ribosomal RNA, 275 nt
Filed under: uncultured bacterium
Lineage: Bacteria
Description: partial 16S ribosomal RNA
Rfam family: Bacterial small subunit ribosomal RNA
Source: RNAcentral